RNAcentral lists this transfer RNA (86 nucleotides) under Gammaproteobacteria bacterium. RNAcentral describes it as "tRNA-Leu". It matches the Rfam family "tRNA". Rfam says of the family: Transfer RNA (tRNA) molecules are approximately 80 nucleotides in length. Their secondary structure includes four short double-helical elements and three loops (D, anti-codon, and T loops). Further hydrogen bonds mediate the characteristic L-shaped molecular structure. tRNAs have two regions of fundamental functional importance: the anti-codon, which is responsible for specific mRNA codon recognition, and the 3' end, to which the tRNAs corresponding amino acid is attached (by aminoacyl-tRNA synthetases). tRNAs cope with the degeneracy of the genetic code in two manners: having more than one tRNA (with a specific anti-codon) for a particular amino acid; and 'wobble' base-pairing, i.e. permitting non-standard base-pairing at the 3rd anti-codon position. Lineage: Bacteria; Pseudomonadati; Pseudomonadota; Gammaproteobacteria. RNAcentral also lists the same sequence under 1 other name. The record is from RNAcentral.
GCCGAUGUGGUGGAAUUGGUAGACACGCUGUCUUGAGGGGGCAGUGCCCAAAAGGCGUGCCGGUUCGACUCCGGCCAUCGGCACCA